Olea europaea var. sylvestris is the source of this 130-nucleotide long non-coding RNA. RefSeq lists it as uncharacterized. Lineage: Eukaryota; Viridiplantae; Streptophyta; Magnoliopsida; Lamiales; Oleaceae. The record is from RefSeq and is a predicted model, not a curated record. The transcript is spliced from 2 exons.
UCGACUGAACAGAAAAUUGGAUAGGUCACACUGACUAAAACCCUUUCCUCCGUGCUCAAAUUCACUGAAAUCAAAGGGUUUCUUCAGCUUCUUCAUAAUAGUGGAAGUUCUAUGAAUCAUCAUAACAUGA